GAUGGGAGCUUGCUCCCUGAUGUUAGCGGCGGACGGGUGAGUAACACGUGGGUAACCUGCCUGUAAGACUGGGAUAACUCCGGGAAACCGGGGCUAAUACCGGAUGCUUGAUUGAACCGCAUGGUUCAAUUAUAAAAGGUGGCUUUUAGCUACCACUUACAGAUGGACCCGCGGCGCAUUAGCUAGUUGGUGAGGUAACGGCUCACCAAGGCAACGAUGCGUAGCCGACCUGAGAGGGUGAUCGGCCACACUGGGACUGAGACACGGCCCAGACUCCUACGGGAGGCAGCAGUAGGGAAUCUUCCGCAAUGGACGAAAGUCUGACGGAGCAACGCCGCGUGAGUGAUGAAGGUUUUCGGAACGUAAAACUCUGUUGUUAGGGAAGAACAAGUACCGUUCGAAUAGGGCGGUACCUUGACGGUACCUAACCAGAAAGCCACGGCUAACUACGUGCCAGCAGCCGCGGUAAUACGUAGGUGGCAAGCGUUGUCCGGAAUUAUUGGGCGUAAAGCGCGCGCAGGCGGUUUCUUAAGUCUGAUGUGAAAGCCCCCGGCUCAACCGGGGAGGGUCAUUGGAAACUGGGGAACUUGAGUGCAGAAGAGGAGAGUGGAAUUCCACGUGUAGCGGUGAAAUGCGUAGAGAUGUGGAGGAACACCAGUGGCGAAGGCGACUCUCUGGUCUGUAACUGACGCUGAGGCGCGAAAGCGUGGGGAGCGAACAGGAUUAGAUACCCUGGUAGUCCACGCCGUAAACGAUGAGUGCUAAGUGUUAGAGGGUUUCCGCCCUUUAGUGCUGCAGCAAACGCAUUAAGCACUCCGCCUGGGGAGUACGGUCGCAAGACUGAAACUCAAAGGAAUUGACGGGGGCCCGCACAAGCGGUGGAGCAUGUGGUUUAAUUCGAAGCAACGCGAAGAACCUUACCAGGUCUUGACAUCCUCUGACAACCCUAGAGAUAGGGCUUCCCCUUCGGGGGCAGAGUGACAGGUGGUGCAUGGUUGUCGUCAGCUCGUGUCGUGAGAUGUUGGGUUAAGUCCCGCAACGAGCGCAACCCUUGAUCUUAGUUGCCAGCAUUCAGUUGGGCACUCUAAGGUGACUGCCGGUGACAAACCGGAGGAAGGUGGGGAUGACGUCAAAUCAUCAUGCCCCUUAUGACCUGGGCUACACACGUGCUACAAUGGGCAGAACAAAGGGCAGCGAAGCCGCGAGGCUAAGCCAAUCCCACAAAUCUGUUCUCAGUUCGGAUCGCAGUCUGCAACUCGACUGCGUGAAGCUGGAAUCG
Molecule: ribosomal RNA, 1279 nt
Filed under: Bacillus licheniformis
Lineage: Bacteria; Bacillati; Bacillota; Bacilli; Caryophanales; Bacillaceae
Description: bacterial SSU rRNA
Rfam family: Bacterial small subunit ribosomal RNA
Source: RNAcentral